UUGGCUGCUGCUUGGCCUAACUGUACUUGUGCUGCUGCUAUGUGCUACUAUAUGUUGUUGGUUGCCUCCUUGGUUAUUUGUGAAUCUGAAAACACUUUGUGAGAAGCACAGAUUGAAGAGAAGGCUAUGAGCCAAUGAGAAGAGCUUCAUUUUCAGUUUUUUAAGAAUUGAUGAAGGACGUGUCAUAUGUUCAGUUGCUAACAUUCUCUCUAUGGUGUAUGCACUUGUUGUUCAUUGCAUUGGAGGGAGAGGAAAACUCUUUGUGAGAAGCAAGGAUUGAAGAGAAGGCUAUGAGCCAGGAGAGGACAACAAGAGUAAGAAAGUCUUGCGGCGUGAAGGCAGUAGCACCCAGCGCCAAGUCAAGCGCAUUGGCCUCGAUGGCAAGAGACCAGUACCAUCAGGUUCGCUUGACUGCUUGCUAGCCCGACAUUGAACAAUACCCUUAAUAAAGCUACAUGGUGGACGCUAAUUGUCAUAUUUU
This is a non-coding RNA of Triticum urartu, 481 nucleotides long. NCBI's taxonomy places the organism in Eukaryota, Viridiplantae, Streptophyta, Magnoliopsida, Poales, Poaceae. The record is from RefSeq and is a predicted model, not a curated record.